This is a long non-coding RNA of Solea solea (common sole), 1416 nucleotides long. RefSeq lists it as uncharacterized. The record is from RefSeq and is a predicted model, not a curated record. The transcript is spliced from 2 exons. NCBI's taxonomy places the organism in Eukaryota, Metazoa, Chordata, Actinopteri, Pleuronectiformes, Soleidae.
UUGGGAGAAAUAAACUCGACUUUCUUCACUUUUUUGCGACAUGCUGGCAGCGUCGCCUGUCCGUGUUUUCUUCCCCUGUGGCCAAAUCCUGCCACCAGAUAAGUCUCGCUCCAGAGAUGGCAGUGGAGGUGGCGGGGUCACGUCUGAGACAAGAGACACUGGUGGGCACCUUGGUGAAUAACGGAGCGGGUUUGGGCUACUGUUCUCAAAGACCCAGUUUGGCAAGGCCCAGGGCAAAAAGAGACACCAUCUACUCCAGGAAGAUGUCCGAGCAGGGAUGGAGGAAGAGUGAGUGAGUAGAGGGGUAGGACUCCGGCAGGAUCACCUGGUCAAAAUCAUGCAUCUACAAUGCCAAGUCCAGCAAACCUCCAUGUCUGGGGGAAGAAUGAGACACCUACCUGCCCACGUUGCUCUAGAAGAGGCUCAUUAGAACAUCUUCUCAGCAGCAGCCCUAAGGCUCUUGCAGAUGGCCACUAUCGUUGACAAGACCGCCUAAACCAAGACCAAGACAAUACUAAGACAAGAGGGUACCAAGACUGAGAACCGAAAAAAACAAAAAACAGACUAGUGUUGAAGUUACACCAUAACUUGCAUGAAUUGAAGAACAGCAGCAUACUGGGGUUCAGCUUACAUUCAAUACAUAUUAGAAGGUAUUGUUUCAACUACAGGCAGAACAAUACAGAGACAGAGUUUAUGUCAUGUGAGCUCACUCACUCACUGAGAUAAUGUGUAGCAAAUUGCAUGACGGCUCUUACUGCACUAUUAGCGGAUUGUGACUCCCUUAACUUUUGUGUGUUGUUGAGGACUGACAUGACUGCUACUGACUGGUCCCAAAGUCAUCUGACAAAACAGCUAACACCUCCAACACCAUCUUUCACCUCCAACAACUGUCUAAAGAAUGGGAAAUAUGUAACUGAUUUAAAUCAUAUGUCAUUGGUCAUCAAAUUGAAGACACACAAUAAUAAACUUGAAAUUGCAUCUUGUCCCAUUGAAGUAGCCAAAAUACUCUGUAUGAUAUCAACUUCCCAGAAACAUUAAUAAAAAUAAGGACAAGUGCUUAGACAAUUCUGACAUCUUGAUGUCUGCAGUGGCAUGUGAUUACAACACGUUUUUAGGAUUGUUAAGUAUUUUUAACUGAUCUACAGUCCGGCAUUGUUCCACUUGAUUUGUGUGUCAGACAUCUCUUCCUGUGACUUGUAGUCAAGACCGCCUAAACCGAGACAAAGACAAGACCGAGACCACGUAAAAGUGGUCUCGAGACCGGAUUCAAGAUGCUUCUUGAAUAUGUAAAAGCUGUAAAUUUGUGGCCUGUAAAUGUCAGGUUUUGUAAUACCUGGUCAGUGUUGAACCCGUCAGAAGAGACUGUCUAACAGUGAAAUAAAGCAGCAAAUAUAUUUGUAAGACAUUGUAAACUUA